AAUGAAUUAAGGUAUUGGCGUGCCUCAAUUUGAAGACAUGAUUAUAUCAUGAAAAAUAGCCAUGUACUUUUAAUUGAGCCGCGUCAAUAUCUUAUUUGUUUUC
Non-coding RNA from Lupinus albus (white lupine), 103 nucleotides. The record is from the annotation of a GenBank genome assembly. NCBI's taxonomy places the organism in Eukaryota, Viridiplantae, Streptophyta, Magnoliopsida, Fabales, Fabaceae.